CUGGGGCUGGCGGUGGUGGAAAGAGUCCGGAAACGCCAAGCAUCAAGGAUAACAUGGCUGCGGGCAGGAGACGCUCAAACAGCCUUUUUCCAAGCCAAGAUCAAUGCCAGGCGCAGGAAAAACUUCAUCCACUCGCUGCAUGGAUCGAGGGGUAUUGCCACCACCCAUGACGACAAGGAGGAAAUCGUCCAUAGCCAUUUCGCUGGAUCGUUAGGAACUAGGAAGAACCGACCACACACUAUCGACUGGAGCUACAUCGACAUGCCUACGGUACAAGGUGGUGGCCUAGACAAUCCGUUCACU
This 303-nucleotide ribosomal RNA is filed under the name Triticum aestivum (bread wheat). RNAcentral's name for it is "partial small subunit ribosomal RNA". The record is from RNAcentral. Lineage: Eukaryota; Viridiplantae; Streptophyta; Magnoliopsida; Poales; Poaceae.